GUAGGUGGCAAGCGUUGUCCGGAAUUAUUGGGCGUAAAGCGCGCGCAGGCGGUUCUUUAAGUCUGAUGUGAAAGCCCACGGCUCAACCGUGGAGGGUCAUUGGAAACUGGAGAACUUGAGUACAGAAGAGGAAAGCGGAAUUCCACGUGUAGCGGUGAAAUGCGUAGAGAUGUGGAGGAACACCAGUGGCGAAGGCGGCUUUCUGGUCUGUAACUGACGCUGAGGCGCGAAAGCGUGGGGAGCAAACAGGAUUAGAUACCCUGGUAGUCCACGCCGUAAACGAUGAGUGCUAAGUGUUAGGGGGUUUCUGCCCCUUAGUGCUGCAGCUAACGCAUUAAGCACUCCGCCUGGGAGUACGGCCGCAAGGCUG
RNAcentral lists this ribosomal RNA (370 nucleotides) under uncultured organism. Its description in RNAcentral is "partial 16S ribosomal RNA". It matches the Rfam family "Bacterial small subunit ribosomal RNA", at positions 527 to 896 of the family's 1533-position model. The record is from RNAcentral.